Molecule: ribosomal RNA, 492 nt
Filed under: uncultured bacterium
Lineage: Bacteria
Description: partial 16S ribosomal RNA
Rfam family: Bacterial small subunit ribosomal RNA
Source: RNAcentral
AGUGAACGCUGGCGGUAGGCCUAACACAUGCAAGUCGAACGGCAGCACAGUAAGAGCUUGCUCUUACGGGUGGCGAGUGGCGGACGGGUGAGGAAUACAUCGGAAUCUACUUUUUCGUGGGGGAUAACGUAGGGAAACUUACGCUAAUACCGCAUACGACCUACGGGUGAAAGCAGGGGAUCUUCGGACCUUGCGCGAUUGAAUGAGCCGAUGUCGGAUUAGCUAGUUGGCGGGGUAAAGGCCCACCAAGGCGACGAUCCGUAGCUGGUCUGAGAGGAUGAUCAGCCACACUGGAACUGAGACACGGUCCAGACUCCUACGAGAGGCAGCAGUGGGGAAUAUUAGACAAUGGGCGCAAGCCUGAUCCAGCCAUACCGCGUGGGUGAAGAAGGCCUUCGGGUUGUAAAGCCCUUUUGUUGGGAAAGAAAAGCAGCAGGUUAAUACCCCGCUGUUCUGACGGUACCCAAAGAACAAGCACCGGCUAACUUCGUG